AUGCAGAAGCUGCCCACUAUGCUCUCGCAGAUCGUGAUUGAUCUUAGCACUGAUGACUUGGUCCGCAUUCACACCGUCGUGGCCAAUGUUACAAACAAGAUCCUCAAUGCAAGGUCUUCGAAGAUCACCAUUCGUAAGCCGAAGCUCAAAUUUUUUUUGAGUCCUUCUCACUGUCUCUCCAUUGGCAAAUGUGUUGGCCUCGCCAUGGCGGACCAGAAAGUGGACUCAGCUGAGUUUGAGAUCUUGACACCCAGGAAUGGUCAUCUUUGCACCGAAGCCUACCGCCUGUUCUUUGCUGACCAGUUCAAUGAUUUUUUUCGUGAUUGCCCAGACGCAUUUGCUGGCCUCACGGGGCUGCAUCUACAAUACAUGAGGUUUGGUGAAUCAGACAUAACCAACAUCCUAAGCUAUUGCAAGCAGCUGGAGUCACUAUCUUUGUUCAUGUGUGACGAGGGGGUCUCUUCGGUGCUGCAUGUAGAACACGCACGACUCGUGGAGCUUGUUAUCUCCUAUUGUGAAUUCAAAACAGUGGAGCUCACCUUUCUACCAAAGCUCCAGCGGAUGACCUUUAAUAGUUGGCCCUCCUGUGCUGAAAAUCCCUUGGCUCUUGGUUUUGUCCCUGAGAUUUCGAAGCUAAACCUUGCCAAGGCAUGUUUUUCACACAAGACACUCAAGCUAAGCCAGCUGCUUGCUAAUGUCCCCUCCGUAAACGAUCUGUCCCUGGAAUUUCGAAGUGAAAAGAUUUGGAUUCAACCAGAAUCCCCGAAAGUGCUUUCACCUUGGCUUGCCAAACUACGGUAUGUGAAUCUGGACAAUCUUCCCGAGUUAUGUGAUAUUGCCUGGACAAUGUUCCUUCUUGAAGCUGCACCGUUUGUGGUGGAGUUUUGCAUCACGGUAUGGGAUCAUAAGUGCCACAUGGAGUCCCAAAAAAGUUACUCCGAGAAAACUGAUGUGAAGUGGGAGCCAUCUGACCCUGAUUUCAAGCAUAAGGAUCUAGCCAAGCUAAACAUAUAUGGCUUUCAGUGCGAUGAUAACUUCACAGGACACAUCAGGCGUGUCAUGGAGGCUGCUGUGAAUAUCAAGGAGGUAUCUCUGCAUGACAGGAAGGUGUGCAAGGUUUGCGCCGUCAAGUUUCCUCAUGUUGAGGUUCGUCCUUCGAGUUAUCCACGGACCAGCGAUGAGAAGGAUUUGUUGAGAAAUAAGAUGACAGAGACGUUGCCGAAGGCUUCUCCUGCUGUGAUUCACUUCCUAUCAUAA
This 1257-nucleotide ribosomal RNA is filed under the name Triticum aestivum (bread wheat). RNAcentral describes it as "partial small subunit ribosomal RNA". Lineage: Eukaryota; Viridiplantae; Streptophyta; Magnoliopsida; Poales; Poaceae. The record is from RNAcentral.